AGUAAAGCUGUGUCACUUCAGGGGUCUGUCUGAGGCUCUUGCAGGAGAAUUCUAAUGGCUGGAUUUCCUUUUUUCGGCACAGGGCAUAAUCCAAGAUCUCAGACACACCUGUCCUGUCAUUUGUUCAUCCUGAGAAUUCAAGGAACACUGCCUCAGUUUCUGCAUGCCUAUCUCAGAGCUUAUAAAUAGGUGGAGAAAUUACUAUGAAGGCCCCAGUGCAGAAUGCCU
This is a long non-coding RNA of Parus major (Great Tit), 228 nucleotides long. RefSeq lists it as uncharacterized. NCBI's taxonomy places the organism in Eukaryota, Metazoa, Chordata, Aves, Passeriformes, Paridae. The record is from RefSeq and is a predicted model, not a curated record. The transcript is spliced from 3 exons.